AGAGUAAAACAGUGCGUGAAAUUGUUGAAAGGGAAACGAUUAAAGUCAGUCAUACCGACGAGUAAUCAACUUUUAUGAGUGUGAUUUUGUGGAUCAUGAUGAGCCUAACGGCCUUCUAGUUUACAAAUUUGUGUUCUUGAGGUGUACUUGCUCGUAUGGUAAGUUAACAUCAAUUUCGUUCGUUAUAAAAUGAUUGGGGAAAUGUAGCUUUGAUCUCGUAUUGAAGUGUUAUAGACCCUGUUAGAUGUAAUGAUCGAGAUUGAGGAUUGCAACGGAUGCUCUUCGGGGCUAUUCGUCUGGCCUCUGGGGGUCACCUUGGUGUCGAAAGCUUGCUUACGGCCUUAAGGAUGGUUUUCAAAAGGUUAGAACGGAUUAAAUUCGUUAAGGAUGUUGACGUAAUGGCUUUAAACGA
This 412-nucleotide unclassified non-coding RNA is filed under the name uncultured Glomeromycotina. RNAcentral describes it as "sequence contains 28S rRNA gene". Lineage: Eukaryota; Fungi; Glomeromycota. The record is from RNAcentral.